CUUCUCUCUCUCUCUCUCUCUCUCUCUCUCUCUCUCUCUCUCUCUCUCUCUCUCUCUCUCUCUCUCUCUCUCUCUCUCUCUCUUUCACGGAUCCCCUGUGCACAGCCACCCGAUCUGUCGCCGUGAACCACCAUCGUCGCCUCCAGCCACUGCCAGUCAGAACCUCGCCGCUGCCACCACCUCCUUCCUCUCGUCCACACGCCGACGCAGCCCCCUCUUCCUCCCUCGCAAGCUCUCUGUCUCACGGAUCCCAUGUGCACAGCCACCAUAUCUGCUGCCGUGAGCCACCAUCGUCGCGUCCAGCCACGACCUCGCACCACCACUAGCAUCCACCGAACCCUUCCUCCUCCCCCAUCCCAAAGCUCCUCCCUCUUCCCUCGCACGGACGCCCUCUCUCUCUACAGAAUUUACCCACCUCGCGGCUCAGAUCUGCUUUUUUUGUAAGGAUAUUGGACCCCAUAAUAUAUUCUCUUUGAAAAAUGUUACAGAUACUGUUCCACUGUGCCAAGACAGAGUAAAGACGAUUGUUGUGGCUCCAACUUUGAAGGUUGACAAGAAGUAGUUGCCGACAAGUAAUUUCUCCUUUCUUUGCCGCACUUUAUCUCUAUAAUUUGACCAUUUCGACCUCUUUAUAAAUGGUAAUCGUACAUACGUACUGAAAUCAGCAGGACUUCUAAUUCCAUGGCCUUUCAAUUUGGAGCUGCUUCCUCUUCUUCACCGUCUUCAUCUCCUCCCAUCCGUUCAUGUAAUCAUGAUGUAUUUUUGAGUUUUAGAGGUGAAAAUGUUGGUGGUAACUUUAUUUCCCAUCUAUACAAAGCGUUGGUUGAAAGGGGAAUCAAUACAUACAUUGACAACAAUCUUGAAAGAGGAGAGGAGAUUUCACCGGCAAUUUUUAAAGUUAUUGAAGGGUCUAAGAUUUCUAUUAUUACACUCUCUAAAAAUUAUGCAGAAUCUAGACGGUGUUUAGAAGAAGCAUUGAAGAUUCUUGACUGUAAGGAAACAAAAAGACAAAUUGUUCUACCAAUUUUUUCCCAAGUAGAGCCAUGGGAAGUACGGCAUCAAAAAGGAAUUUUUGGAAAAUCCUUUGAUAAACUUGGAGAUGAGGUCAAGGAUAACGCAAAGAUGGUGAAAUGGAAGGAAGCUUUGCAAAAAGUAGCCAAUUUAUCUAGUUUCCUUUUCCCAUAAGCGAACUUUCGGGACGAAUCUGAAUUUAUCGAGAAGAUUGUUCAAGAAGUCUCAAGCAAACUACCAAAUCGUACAAUGCUUGAAUGUAUCGAGAAGAUUGUUCAAGAAGUUUCAAGCAAACUACCAAAUCGUACAAUGCUAGCAUGUCGCAAAUUAUCCGGUUGGAUUGGAGUCCCGUGGAGAAGGAUUGUUCAAGAAGGAUUGGAGUCCCGUGGAGUCUCGUGGAGAAGAUUGUUUUUUAUUUUUUAAGGAGCUUUAGCUUUUUCACCAAUAAUUUCAUUGUGUAAGGAGCUUUAGCUUUUCCCAUAUUUCUUGGGCUUUGUUAAUUCUGAUGUGACAGUGUUGUUGGAUGGUUGUGAGACAGCGUGUUAUUGGUGGGCCUCUUCUCGAUCGAGGCCAUCAUUCUUCUCUUUAUUAUUUUUUAAUAAAAAGUUCUAUUUAAUGUUGUAAAUCAUAUUAUAAAUCA
Carya illinoinensis is the source of this 1651-nucleotide long non-coding RNA. RefSeq lists it as uncharacterized. The record is from RefSeq and is a predicted model, not a curated record. Lineage: Eukaryota; Viridiplantae; Streptophyta; Magnoliopsida; Fagales; Juglandaceae. The transcript has 2 exons.